RNAcentral lists this unclassified non-coding RNA (253 nucleotides) under plant metagenome. RNAcentral's name for it is "partial contains small subunit ribosomal RNA, internal transcribed spacer 1, and 5.8S ribosomal RNA". The record is from RNAcentral.
UUUCCGUAGGUGAACCUGCGGAAGGAUCAUUAUUGAGUUUUGGAUGAAGUUGUUCUGGUCUUUCGGGGCAAGUGAACGCUUCUCUCAAUCCAUCUUACACCUGUGCACCUAUCGGGGAAGACUUGGAUCUAAGUUGGGUCACGACGGCGAUCUACAGUCUCCUCUUUAUACCAAAUAACAGUUUUAGAAAGUCUUUUUUGCUUGAUGCAAACUUAAAUAAAUACAACUUUCAGCAACGGAUCUCUUGGCUCUC